GAUCAAGUCCUAAGCAUCCAGCUCCAUCGUCCGCCGAUUCCUUCCACGGCUUGAUCCCAGUUCCUUCCAACCGAACUCGCAGAUUUCCCUCCAAACGUCCAGCAUCAUCCUCUCAUUCACACGUUUCUUCCGCGUUCAUCCUCAUCCAAAUCGAUUUCCCUGUUUUCAGCCGUGAAGAGCAAAACUCCCAGCAAAUCUAAGAGUUCCAACUUCUUCCGAGUGGCAUCAAACCAUCUUCCAGAUUUGAUCUCUUCCCAGAUCUUCUUCCGGAUUCCUCCCGUCUAAGAUCGGCUUCUCCGUAUCCCUCUUCCGAACCGUAUCCAACUUCCUCCCAGCUUCCGCUAGAUCCCAGCAUCCCAAGAUCGUUCGUAUCCAGCUGAAUCUAUCCUUCUAAUAUCCCACAGAUCAGCCCUUCCUCCCAACUUCUGAAUCCAACUACUCCACGUC
This 447-nucleotide long non-coding RNA is filed under the name Phoenix dactylifera (date palm). RNAcentral's name for it is "long non-coding RNA (PDAC_LNC014593)". The record is from RNAcentral. Lineage: Eukaryota; Viridiplantae; Streptophyta; Magnoliopsida; Arecales; Arecaceae.